UUUAGUGACCGUACCGCAAACCGACUCAGGUGGGCGGGGUGAGAAUCCCAAGGCGCGUGAGAGAACACUGGCUAAGGAACUCGGCAAAUUGACACCGUAACUUCGGGAGAAGGUGUGCCCGCGCUCGUGAUGAGACUUGCUCUUUGAGCGGGUGUGGGUUGCAGAGAAUAGAGGGUUGCGACUGUUUACCAAAAACACAGGACUCUGCGAACUUGUAAGAGGACGUAUAGGGUCUGACGCCUGCCCGGUGCUGGAAGGUUAAGAGGAGUUGUUAGCUUCGGCGAAGCAGUGAAUUGAAGCCCCAGUAAACGGCGGCCGUAACUAUAACGGUCCUAAGGUAGCGAAAUUCCUUGUCGGGUAAGUUCCGACCUGCACGAAUGGCGUAACGACAUCCCUACUGUCUCGGCCAGUGACUCAGCGAAAUUGUAUUGAGCGUGAAGAUACGCUCUACCCGCGACAAGACGGAAAGACCCCGUGAACCUUUACUGCAGCUUGGCAGUGAAAUUCGGGACAGUCUGCGUAGGAUAGGGGGGAGACUUUGAAGCCGGGAUUCUGGUUUCGGUGGAGUCACCCUUGAAAUACCACCCUGGCUGUUCUGGAUUUCUAACCCAGCACCGUUAUCCGGUGCGGGGACAUUGCCUGGUGGGCAGUUUGACUGGGGCGGUCACCUCCUAAAAAGUAACGGAGGUGCGCGAUGGUUCCCUCAGGCUGAUUGGAAACCAGCCGUAGAGUGCAAAGGCAUAAGGGAGCUUAACUGUGAGACCGACAGGUCGAACAGAUGCGAAAGCAGGCCUUAGUGAUCCGGUAGCUCCGCAUGGAAGGGCUAUCGCUCAACGGAUAAAAGGUACUCCGGGGAUAACAGGCUGAUCGCGCCUGAGAGUUCAUAUCGGCGGCGCGGUUUGGCACCUCGAUGUCGGCUCAUCGCAUCCUGGGGCUGGAGCAGGUCCCAAGGGUUUGGCUGUUCGCCAAUUAAAGCGGUACGCGAGCUGGGUUCAGAACGUCGUGAGACAGUUCGGUCCCUAUCUGUCGUGGGCGGAGGAUACUUGAAGGGAGUUGACCAUAGUACGAGAGGACCUGGUUGAACGUAUCCCUAGUGUUCCGGUUGUUUCGCCAGAAGCAUAGCCGGGUAGCUAUAUACGGAAUCGAUAACCGCUGAAAGCAUCUAAGCGGGAAGCGAGCCCUAAGAUGAGGUAUCCCUGGACUUCGGUCCCUGAAGACCACUUGUAGACUACGAGUUUGAUAGGCUGGGUGUGGAAGUGCGGCAACGCAUGGAGCUGACCAGUACUAAUCGGUCGUGAGGCUUGACCUA
Molecule: ribosomal RNA, 1309 nt
Filed under: marine sediment metagenome
Description: bacterial LSU rRNA
Rfam family: Bacterial large subunit ribosomal RNA
Source: RNAcentral